AGAAUCAACGCUGGCGGCGUGCCUAACACAUGCAAGUCGAACGAGAAAGUGGAGCAAUCCAUGAGUAAAGUGGCGCACGGGUGAGUAACACGUGACUAACCUACCCUUGAGUGGGGGAUAACCUAGGGAAACCUGGGCUAAUACCGCAUAAUACCUUCGGGUCAAAGGAGCAAUUCGCUUAAGGAGGGGGUCGCGGCCGAUUAGUUAGUUGGCGGGGCAAUGGCCCACCAAGACUGUGAUCGGUA
This 245-nucleotide ribosomal RNA is filed under the name uncultured bacterium. Its description in RNAcentral is "partial small subunit ribosomal RNA". It matches the Rfam family "Bacterial small subunit ribosomal RNA", at positions 26 to 285 of the family's 1533-position model. The record is from RNAcentral.